This is a long non-coding RNA of Gavialis gangeticus (Gharial), 2584 nucleotides long. RefSeq lists it as uncharacterized. The record is from RefSeq and is a predicted model, not a curated record. The transcript is spliced from 2 exons. Lineage: Eukaryota; Metazoa; Chordata; Crocodylia; Gavialidae.
GGUUUGUUUGGGCUUUUUUGCACAAUCAUCUUUUUCUUUUUUUUAAAUGUAUGUAUUUAUAUCUCUUGUCUGCUCUCAUGCUUAAAGGGAUUUGUUGUUGAGGAGGAAAGAAGCUGUUCUGUUUUUUUUUCUUGAUAGAUACGCUUUAUUUUUUCCCCCCCUUUUUGGGGGCAUUGCUUUUUAAUGGGAGGAAUAUACUUGCCCUUGGAAAAAAAAACCCACACUCGGAGGAUUAAAUUUUCUUUUCUUUUUUUUUUUUUUCGCUCUUUCUCCCUUUCCAGGACUCUUUUUAAGUGGUGGGUUAAUUCUUUGUAGCUGCUGUCUGGUUGCAAAGGACAUGGGAAAGCGUCUGUCGUGCUAUAGCUGCGAUGUACAGUAUGUCUUAUCUAUGAUUGUAUGCAAAAUAGAUGUUUGAUUUUCCUUGUAAGUGGGAGACUUUUGAUUUUGAGUCGCCGGAGCCCAUGUUUAGUUCGGAGGUCUUGGGAGGGAGCUGCAAAGGCCUGCUGUGGCCAUUGGAGGAAGCUUCAGGCACCAGGGAAAAUGUAAAGACCGUCUUACAAAUAGAUUUGUGGGUGUGUGUCAGGGGGAGGAGGGAGGGAGAGUGACAAAGUGUUAUUCUAAUGACCCUUUAUGUAAAUAUCUGUGUUAAAAAAGCAAACAAAUUGCAUAUUUACUUGUGCCGUGUAUUCACUCAGGCCUGGCUCGGGUGGGUGUGUUUUAAAAUAUCUCAGCAGAUUUCUGUUUCAAUUUGCAUGUAUUAUUAUUAUUUUUCCCCACCGCCUGAAUGUCCGGGGGGUAAGAGGAUUUCAAAUUCCUCUUCUGCAUGACAGAGAGGAAAGGGGUGGUGGGGGGGAAGGCUUGUGACUCCGAUAGCAUUUCAGGUUUAUUCCAAUUAAUAGAAAUUAGUUUACAAGAAUCACCACCGCAGGGUCACUGUGCCCUAGCUCCGGCUAAUCAAAUUGCUUAGAGCGACUGAUUAAAUUACCAAGAAUUCCAAGAAAUCUGCAGCCUGAAUGCAAAGUUAUUGAACAUUUCCUGAGGGUUGUUUUUUUUUUUAAAUUUCUCAGCAAAGUGCCCAGGCUGAAAUACUCAGCACUGUGUUAAAACAAAAUAGGAGGAAAGCCUUGUAACCGAUAGCCCGCAUCUGUCAUUAAAAAUAGCCCAGUAAGGAGUAGGAAUCAGACUAAGAUGAUACUUGAGAUGAUGCAGACGAGCUUUAAAGACGUUUCCCUUUGUAGUUGGAAAGUAAUAUAUAUAAUUCAGAGUGAGCAUAGCGUUUACUUAUUAGACUCUAAGCUCUUGGGGACAUAGAAAGCUUGUUUACCCACUUUAGCAAAAUUACUGGUGUCAUAGAAGUGGACUCAGCAACAAAUGAUACGAUAAGUAUAAUGCCAAGCUCGCUUUUAUUUUUUUAUCGUGCCUUUAUUAAUUCAUUUUUUUAAAGAUCCCCUUCCUGCUCCCCCCUUCGCACAGCCUGAGUCUUCGACGGUGGCGGCUGAAGGCAAUGUUUGCAGAAAGUUGGGAAGUGGAGAAGAUUUUUUUGUCCGAUUGAUGAUUUAUCAGGACGGCUGUUAAAAUUGGCACCUCGCAGAGCAGAGAUCUUGCUCUGCCCGAAACCUCACAGGUCCACGCUACUAAAUGUCAGAAGUGGAAAACAUUUUGAUCCCAGAAGGAAAACUUCGGGAGUUAAAAGUUUAAGCCUGUUUCCUGCAGAAACAAAGGGCCUGAUUCUGAGCUUGUUGAAAUAAAAAGGGAGACUCCCAUUAAAUGCCAGGGGCUUGGAUGGGGCCCGGAUUUCUUUUUUUAAACAUAUUAUUUUUCAGUUAUUUUUUUAUAUAACUUGUUGGACAUCUGUGCCGAGUUAGCAUUAUCUGCCUUUCAUUUCCUUCCUCCAAAUAAAAUAUCGAUGCUUAGUUUUUUAUGUGCUUUUGAAUCGUCAGAACAGUUCGGAUUCACUAAUUAUUAAAGAAUUUAGUUAGUUGAUUGGAAUAGAUGAGUAACUGCAGGGGAAAGCAUUUGUUGCCUUGUUUGUCUCUGGAAAUUUUUCGGAUCUCUGCCUUGCCUUUUAAAAACAGAGAGGGUUAUGGCAAACUAUAUUUGAGAGUUUCUUUUUUGUAUCUACCGGACCAGAAACUGUUUUUUUAAAAUGUUAUACUAGUCAUUACAGUGUUAAUGUAGGCAUUGAUGGAGUUAUCGAUUAUUUAAAUCCCAUAUAUCAAUAGCAGCAUCAUGUAGCGACUGCCAAGUUAUGAGGAGGGGCUUUUGUUUCUUUUCCCACCUUUUGGAGGGGGUUUGGGGGUUUUUUUUUCCCUUCAGUUUGUUUUCACUCUUAGUUUGAAGAAUUGGAUUUCCUCUUUGCUUUUCUCUUUCGCGACCCCACCUAAAAUGGCUAGGAGAAUUUUAACUCUUUACUGAGAUGAACAAGUCCAAUGGGACUUCCCAGGUCUUAAGUCAUUUAAAAUAAUAAUGAUAAAAGCUGCAGCCAGCUGUAAUCAGUUAGAUUUCAAGAGGAAGGGACAAAGCAAUCCGGACUCAUGGUCGAGGUGAUAUCUUUUAUUAGACCAAAUAGAUUUUUGCAAAAAAA